AUGUAUGAUUUAUCAGAAUUGUGUGCGCUGCCAUAACGUCGUAUUUCGUGUUAAAUCUCUAUCUUGAUAGGUUCGUAUUUGUGUCAUAAUUGAAUUUUUAUUUUCAUUGAUAAUGUAUGGAACGACGUAAUACGUAAGAAACAUGUGUUCAACCUCAUUUGAUAAUACGGAAAUAAAUGAACGCGUUCGAUCGAAUACGUUUUACGAGUAAUCGUAAUGUUCGUUUGUUGUUUUCAAUAUGAAAAAACAUAAACUUCCGAAAAAUUGGGUUGUUGUCAGUUCUAAGAGUCAUCCAGAUAGAGUUUAUUAUUUCAAUAUUAGAACCAGUGAAUCCUCUUGGAAGGAACCUACAACGGAUGGAACGAAACAGGUUUUUAUUAAUGAUGUACAAAAACAAAAAAAAAGGAAAACAAGCGAAGUGAGUUCUAAUGAAUCAAGGGCAACUUCUGAUAUUGAAGAAGAUAAUAACAAAGAAGGUAUUGUACGAAGGAAGUUAGUAGCCAAACGACAUUCUAAAUCUGCACAAGAAUUUGAUACAUUACAAAUGGCGGACAUUAAAAAGAAAAUGCAACAGAAGAAGAUCAAAAGUCCUUCGAAAAGUAAUUCGUCUACCAAUUCAUGCAAACAAAUUGAUUCUUCUAUCGAAUUGUACAAAAGUGAAGAGGAUUCAAAAUUACAGAUAAUGACGCCACAGAUGAGAGUUAUUUAUGAAAAGAUACAGAAAAAAAAUAUGAACAGGAAGCAGACACAGUCGUUUCAAGAUGUUAAACGCACUGAAGUAGUUGAAAAUGUUAAACAUAGAGUAAAAGUAGAUAAGAGAAGAAAACGUAAAAGAGAGGGCGUGGUAAAAUCUUCAAGCUCGAAUCAAGACACAUCUACUUGUUCCAGUAGUCAUGAAAAUAAUUCUACGAAAAGUAAUAUUAGGAGUCCUCCGAUCGCAGAUAUCGUCGAAACUAAAUCGGAGAGGUCAAUUGUGAUAAAAAAUAUAUUGCAAAAGAAAAAUAAUUUUCAGUACAAAUCUAAGGAGAGAGUAAUAGAAAAUAAAGAAUAUAAUAGUAAUGUAAAUAAGAAAGGUGGAAGCAUUAUUUUAAAAAAGAAUUUGGCUAAAGAACGCAUGGAUAAAUUAAGAAAAACAUUGAAUCUACAAAUGAAAGAUCAAAAGAGUAAUGAUAAGUCAUCGCAAAGCAGUGAUGGUUCACUGCUCACGAUUAUAAAAGAUAACGAAAUUUCGGAUAUUUAUAAAACCAGUGAUAUGAGGUAUAAAAAUUUACGUAAUAGGCUUUUACGUAAUAAAGUAAUCUCUCAUGAAGAUCAAUUGCUGGCGUCAGUAAAAUCUAAUAUGCAAAAUCAAUCAUUAAAUACGUCGGGAGAAAAUCCUGCAAAUAAGUCUAAUGAUUCAUCUCUUUAUGAAGAAAUGGAUUGGGAGCCAAUGGAAGAUGAAAAGAUAACAUUCGAGGUACAAGCCGCUAGGAUAAAAUUAUGCGUUGAAAAUGCUAGGAAUGAAACAUUACCAAUGGAAGGAAAUAUUUUACAAUUUCCAUCAUUACCGAUUCAAGAAGAAAAGAAAACUUUAUACAUUGUUGUAGAUACAAACGUGUUCCUAUCGAAUUUAGAUGCAAUCGUAAAAGCUAUGACUACAGAAUUCGCAAAAUAUGACAAGCCAAUUCUUGUAAUACCAUGGACCGUUAUACGAGAAUUGGAUUAUUUAAAAGACGACAAAUUUGGAACAAAGUCAGUACAUUUACGUAUGAAAGCCAGAAAAGCUAUAAAUUUUCUCAAUAAUCAUUUAUCCAUUAAUGAUCCACGUAUAGUCGGUCAAACUUUAGAGGACGUAAGAAACAACAAAGAAAAAUUUGCCAUUGAAUGUCCGGACGACGAGAUUCUACAAACUUGUUUACAAAUUCGAAACGCAGGAAGAACUGUGGCUUUAUUAUCGUAUGAUAAAAACCUUUGCAACAAAGCAAUGAUAUACGACAUAGUAGCACUCGGAAGAGACGAUCCUCUUGAAAAAAUAGAUUAUAUUUUUUCGACUAACAAUAAGAACUUAUCAUUUCACGAUAUUUACCUUCAAAAGAUGCAAGGUGAAGGCUCACAAAUUCUUUCAGCUUUUCAAGAGGAAUUACGUUAUUCGAACGAAUUAUUUGAAGAGGUGGAAUCUACAAUAAAAGAAUUUCUUUCAGUCAUAGUAAGUAAAGAAAUGAAGAAUUUAUUUGGUGAAAAUUGGGAAAAAUAUACUAUCGUAAAGCCACCUUGGACAGUUUUGUGCGUUUUAAAAUGUGCUAUAAAACAUUGGAUAGCUGCUAUAAGCGAAGCGUUUGACAAGCAAGCAGAACAGCUUCUCAAAGAACUUUUGGAAAUAUUUAGAACGAUGCCAAGUGGACGUAAAUUGAAGGACGUUGCACAUUUACUAGAGAAGUGUAGUGACCUGAUUCAAAUGGUCAAUGUUGAUAAAUAUUUUGACCUUAUGAAUCGUGCAUCAAGUUCCAUUGAAGAUAUUAAAAAGAGAUGUCAAAAUUAUGAGAACGAGAUACGUGAGAAAAAAAUACAAGAAGAAAUUGGAAUGGAAAAUGAUGUAGUUGAACAAAAACGUAGAGCAGAAAAUGCUUUUAAUUAUUUCAAUUAUAUCUAUUCAUAUGCACGUGAUAUCGGUGGAAUGGCUGCAAGUAUCGUGAACAUGCCAUGUACUUUUUGUUACGAAAUGCCAAAUCCAGAACCCUCGGUUGAAUAUGUGAAAAAAAUACAACCAGAAAUUGCACAAAACGUAAAUCAUUUGUUACGUAUUUUGAGCAAAGCUUUAGAAGAAAUGAAAGAUACUUCGAUGAAUCAUAAAACAUUGAUUGAUCUUUAUCACAUAUUAACAAAUUUCUUACCUGAAGAAACAACAAUGAUCACUACGGAUUUGUCUCCACUCGAUGUGUAUUGUUGCUUAAAAGAAAAGGAAGACGUUUUGAAAAUGGGAAUAAGACAGCUUCAAGAACUCUGCACACAUUUUUGCAGAUUGGCAAGUUACCGAUGUAUAUGAGUCAUUGUCGAUAUAUUCGCAGUCGUGUUGUAUUAUAUAUUUAAAAUAUUUGUCAUAUAUGGAAAUAAGAAAAAAAAAAAAAAAAAAUUGCUAUUAUUAAAUUCUUUAAAAUAUAAUACAAAACGAACAAUAAUUCGAUUGACGCAUACAUAACAGAAAAUAAUGACUGUGAUACUAAGGUGGUUGUAACCAAUUGUCUUUAGCAUAAGCCACCUGUUUAGUUUCAAUAACGUGAAAAGUAUAAG
This is an RNA transcript of Vespula pensylvanica (western yellowjacket), 3267 nucleotides long. It is a transcript of the gene named transcriptional protein SWT1-like, with no coding region annotated. The transcript is spliced from 13 exons. The record is from RefSeq and is a predicted model, not a curated record. Lineage: Eukaryota; Metazoa; Arthropoda; Insecta; Hymenoptera; Vespidae.